GAGCCCCGCCCGAGCCGGGCGGAGCGGAGCGCGCGGAGCCUAGACCCGCUGCCGGGCCGGGGCUGGGCCGGAGCGGCGGCGCCUGGAUGCCGGCCCGGGGCUGGGCCGGAGACUGGCGCCCGCCCCGAAGCGACUUUCGGUCCCCGACCCGCUCCGCCUGACCCCUAUGAUGAAGAGGGCGUCCACUGGAGAAGGCCCCCUGGUAAGGCCAGCCAGCCGGAGGACCACCCCGCAGACCACACGCCCAGGGCCUGGCACCGAGGGGGAGGCCCCGAUCAGCAGGUGAAAGCGACACCCUGAUGACACUGGCUAGUUCACCUUCACUCUGGUCAUCGUUUACUGUACCCCGGGGCAGCUCCCGCCUGAGCCCUAUGACCCCAACCGCCGCAGCCUCUGGCUGCCUCACUGGCCCAUCAUUAAUACGUCGAUGGUGAGCGCACUGGUGUACAGCGAGGGGGCUCCACUUCCGAGACCCCUGGAGAGGCCCGUCCUGGUGGAGUUCACCCUGCUGGAGAUGGAGAAGCGAACCAAGCCUGUCUGUGUGUUCUGGAACCAUUCCCUGGCGUAAAUGUGAUGCCGGGAGUUCUGCAUCUUCAUACCAAGAGCAGUGAUGACCUUUUAGCUGGAAUGGCCAGAGGGGUAACGGUGACUAAUGGUGUUAAAGGGAAGGAAAGCUCCUGCCCAUCUGCAGCACCUUCGGCAUCUGCCCCUGCCAUGACCACUGUGGAGAACAAAUCCAAGAUUAGCACAGAGUCUCACUCUGUCGCCCAGGCUGGAGUGCAGUGGCUCGAUCUUGGCUCACUGCAACCUCCGCCUCCCAGGUUCAAGUGAUUCUCCUGUCCCUGCCUCCUGUGUAGCUGGGAUUACAGGUGUGCACCACCACAUCUGGCUAAUUUUUGUAUUUUUAGUAGACACAGGGUCUCACCAUGUUGGCCAGGCUAGUCUCCAACUCCUGGCCGCAAGUAAUCUGCCCACUUCAGCCUCCCAAAGUGUUGGGAUUAUAGGCGUGAGCCACCGAGCCCAGCUAGUACACAGAAUACCAUUUUUUACUUAAGUAUAUUAAUCUAGAAGAGUUUUUUUUAAAAUACAGUAUACCAUUUUUAUCUAUAACACUUAAAGACAAUCAAAGCCAAAUUAUGCUGUUUCAAGAUACCAUAUACUUAGAAAAACAUCUAUAAAAAGCAAGAGAAACAUACAAAUCAGGCCCAUCUGGAGAGAAGGGAGUGAAGCAUUGCGCUGAUACGGGGAUAAAUAUGCUGGUUGGGUAGACAGGCAGUCCUUAUGCUUUUGGCUGACGUAGAUGUUACGUACUAUUUCAUGUGUUAUCACACUCUCCAGUAAACACGUAACAUAAGAGAAUAAUUAACCACUAUCAAGCGUUCUCAUCUUGAGACAGGAAGAUGUAGAGGAAAGACCUUGAUGUGUGUGUCAGUUACAAGGAUGUACACCAGUGACUGACAUGACUUGGUGCAAAUCUUGGGUAGAGACCUAUACUUAAGCUCCUCACCCCCACCUGCCGAGGCGUAAGGGCUCAGAGGGGGUUCCAUGGGGUGGGCGGGAGUGGUAAGGGUCGAGGUGCAGCCACAGCCUGGCUCUGUGCACACCCCCUCCCUCCCCCUGGUCCCAUGUGCACACCCUCUCCCUGCCCCCUGCCCCUUGUGCACACCCUCUGUACCCCCCUUCCCGCCCCAGCCUGUGUUUGCAGUGCUACAGGGUGGCUGCAGCCUUUGCCUCCCACAGCUCCUCAAGGUCAGAGGGCUGGGAACCCCUGGGAUGUGGCUGGGAUGAGGACCCUGCCCCUCCUCAGGCAUUUCCAGGCAAGGGGCACAGAGACACAGCCAGCCCAGCAGCUGAGCCCCUCCUAUCAGGCCAGGUGGGAAACUGAAGCAUGAACACAACCCCAGACUGGAAAUAAAAAGCCGUCAUGUACUGUGUGCCUACUGAA
RNAcentral lists this long non-coding RNA (1945 nucleotides) under Homo sapiens (human). Its description in RNAcentral is "DiGeorge syndrome critical region gene 5, transcript variant 5 (DGCR5)". The record is from RNAcentral. Lineage: Eukaryota; Metazoa; Chordata; Mammalia; Primates; Hominidae.